This 364-nucleotide ribosomal RNA is filed under the name Acyrtus rubiginosus (red clingfish). RNAcentral's name for it is "partial small subunit ribosomal RNA". It matches the Rfam family "Bacterial small subunit ribosomal RNA", at positions 866 to 1397 of the family's 1533-position model. Lineage: Eukaryota; Metazoa; Chordata; Actinopteri; Blenniiformes; Gobiesocidae. The record is from RNAcentral.
UAUCCGCCUGGGUACUACAAGCCUAGCUUGAAACCCAAAGGACUUGGCGGUGCUUAAGAUCCACCUAGAGGAGCCUGUUCUAGAACCGAUAACCCCCGUUAAACCUCACCCCUCUUAGCCCAUACCGCCUAUAUACCGCCGUCGUCAGCCUACCCUGUGAAGGCCUCAUAGUAAGCACAAUUGGCUCACCCCAAAACGUCAGGUCGAGGUGUAGCAUAUAGAGGGGGAAGAAAUGGGCUACAUUCUCUACUUACAGAGUAUACGAAAAGUGGUCUGAAACCCCCAUUAGAAGGAGGAUUUAGUAGUAAGGAAUAAAUAGAGCGUAAACCUGAAAUCGGCCCUAAAGCGCGUACACACCGCCCGU